RNAcentral lists this ribosomal RNA (523 nucleotides) under uncultured bacterium. RNAcentral describes it as "bacterial SSU rRNA". It matches the Rfam family "Bacterial small subunit ribosomal RNA", at positions 355 to 895 of the family's 1533-position model. The record is from RNAcentral.
UGGGGAAUCUUGGACAAUGGGGGCAACCCUGAUCCAGCCAGCGCCGUGAGUGAUGAAGGCCUUAGGGUCGUAAAGCUCUUUCGCCUGUGAAGAUAAUGACGGUAGCAGGUAAAGAAACCCCGGCUAACUCCGUGCCAGCAGCCGCGGUAAUACGGAGGGGGUUAGCGUUGUUCGGAAUUACUGGGCGUAAAGCGCACGUAGGCGGACCAGAAAGUUGGGGGUGAAAUCCCGGGGGCUCAACCCCGGAACUGCCUCCAAAACUAUUGGUCUAGAGUUCGAGAGAGGUGAGUGGAAUUCCAAGUGUAGAGGUGAAAUUCGUAGAUAUUUGGAGGAACACCAGUGGCGAAGGCGGCUCACUGGCUCGAUACUGACGCUGAGGUGCGAAAGUGUGGGGAGCAAACAGGAUUAGAUACCCUGGUAGUCCACACCGUAAAACGAUGAAUGCCAGUCGUCGGGUAGCAUGCUAUUCGGUGACACACCUAACGGAUUAAGCAUUCCGCCUGGGGAGUACGGUCGCAAGAUU